AUAGUACUCCCUCCGUCCAGAAAUACUUGAUCGAGGAAUUGAUGAAUCUAGAUGUAUUUUAGUUCUAGAUACAUCCAUUCGUAUCCAUUUCUCCGACAAGUAUUUCCGAACGAAGGGAGUAGUAU
This is a non-coding RNA of Triticum aestivum (bread wheat), 125 nucleotides long. The record is from Rfam. Lineage: Eukaryota; Viridiplantae; Streptophyta; Magnoliopsida; Poales; Poaceae.